AACGCACGAGACCUGCGGACCUGCGGAAGGAUCAUUAACGCGCCGUGGAGGUUGCCUUUAAACAGGUCUGACCUUCCACCUGGCCACCCUUGUUUAUCUUUAACCUGUUGCUUUGGUGGGCCCGCUGCGAGGCCGCUGGAGAAUUUAAAAGUUUUCUGGCCCGUGCCCACCAAAGUCCUAGUGAACUCUUUGUUAAUUUUCUGCUGUCUGAGCAUUAAAAGAAACAAUUUUUAAAACUUU
RNAcentral lists this unclassified non-coding RNA (240 nucleotides) under soil metagenome. RNAcentral's name for it is "partial contains 5.8S ribosomal RNA, internal transcribed spacer 2, and large subunit ribosomal RNA". The record is from RNAcentral.